GAUUCUCUCACCGGCAGGUGGAUCCAUAAAACCAGGGGUUGGGGACUGACUGCCACGGGGCAGGGUAGCAGUGCUGAGGAUGGGGAUCAUAACCAGAACAGGCCACACAGGCUGAAGAUCAACAUUUUAUGUAAAGUCAUCUUUUAAGGAGGGCGCAGCUCCCACCGUGGCCCUCUCUGGGACUGUUGCUCCAACCCAAGGAAAUGUGAGUAG
This 213-nucleotide long non-coding RNA is filed under the name Homo sapiens (human). RNAcentral describes it as "non-protein coding lnc-COPS7A-4:1". Lineage: Eukaryota; Metazoa; Chordata; Mammalia; Primates; Hominidae. The record is from RNAcentral.